GAGCCAGCCGCCGAAGGUGGGACAGAUAAUUGGGGUGAAGUCGUAACAAGGUAGCCGUAUCGGAAGGUGCGGCUGGAUCACCUCCUUUCUAAGGAA
RNAcentral lists this ribosomal RNA (96 nucleotides) under Listeria monocytogenes. Its description in RNAcentral is "partial 16S ribosomal RNA". It matches the Rfam family "Bacterial small subunit ribosomal RNA", at positions 1446 to 1533 of the family's 1533-position model. Lineage: Bacteria; Bacillati; Bacillota; Bacilli; Caryophanales; Listeriaceae. The record is from RNAcentral.